This 460-nucleotide ribosomal RNA is filed under the name uncultured bacterium. RNAcentral's name for it is "partial 16S ribosomal RNA". It matches the Rfam family "Bacterial small subunit ribosomal RNA", at positions 338 to 795 of the family's 1533-position model. The record is from RNAcentral.
CCUACGGGAGGCAGCAGUGAGGAAUAUUGGUCAAUGGCCGAGAGUCUGAACCAGCCAAGUCGCGUGAGGGAAGACGGCCCUACGGGUUGUAAACCUCUUUUAUGCGGGGAUAAAGGUUUCCACGUGUGGAUGUUUGCAGGUACCGCAUGAAUAAGGACCGGCUAAUUCCGUGCCAGCAGCCGCGGUAAUACGGAAGGUCCGGGCGUUAUCCGGAUUUAUUGGGUUUAAAGGGAGCGUAGGCCGGUCUUUAAGCGAGCCGUGAAAUUUUGUGGCUCAACCAUGGGAGUGCGGCGCGAACUGGAGACCUUGAGUGCGCGGAAGGCAGGCGGAAUUCGUGGUGUAGCGGUGGAAUGCUUAGAUAUCACGAAGAACCCCGAUUGCGAAGGCAGCCUGCCGCAGCGUGACUGACGCUGAAGCUCGAAAGCGCGGGUAUCGAACAGGAUUAGAUACCCGAGUAGUC